This is a long non-coding RNA of Penaeus chinensis, 584 nucleotides long. RefSeq lists it as uncharacterized. Lineage: Eukaryota; Metazoa; Arthropoda; Malacostraca; Decapoda; Penaeidae. The transcript is spliced from 3 exons. The record is from RefSeq and is a predicted model, not a curated record.
UAUCGCGGGACAUGGUGGCGUGUGGACGUACGUUCCGGCGCAGCGUAUCCCUCAGUUGACUGUACAGUGGUAGCGGGUCCGCGCGUGUCUCGAGGCUGAAUGAGACCGAUGCAUACUAGAUGAGAAUAGGUCUAUAUCUAUGCUCACCAACUGAACAAAAGUGAAAAUAAACUAGAAUGGAAAAUCGUUGUGAUCGUUAGUGAAAUGUGAUAUACAUAAAAGAAGAGGAAGUGAGAGAUAAAGAGAAAAGAAGAAAGAGAGAAAAAAUUGAUAAUCUAUAUGCAUGUAAAAAUAUGAUGACGCUAUUUCUCAGAAUUGAAAACUGCGUCGUGGAAAAUUACACGAGCUGACCAGAGCAUUCAGACAGUGCCGCCGUCCGAAUCCUCAGCCGAGGUGAAUAGCCAGACGACUAGAUGGAUAGGCAGGAGACCCCAGCUGCCUCCAGUGGGUCCAAAGGUUGCCUUCCGCUGCAGCAUCUGGUACUAUCAAUGUAAGUUUCUGUUUUAUUACAGUUGACAAAAAUGUAGUUUUUAAUAUUUAGUUCUAAGGCCUCUUUGGUGUUUUUAGAAGUAGGUUCCAAAUUU